UUAUGGACCAACACCCAUGAGGAGUAGUGGCCCGUGUUGUUGAUUAACUAUCCACGGGUUAAUUACUCUCUAUGCAUGUUUCUAAUUUAUGAGAAAAAUGUAAUACCAAGUUGGGCCUUGCGAGAGGAGUUUUAUUCCAAAACGAAUAAUCAAGGGGGUCCCCAUAAGAACUCCAAGGAUGUUAGGAGCUUCCAAUAUGGAACAUAAUUUGGUACACAAGUAACUAGGACGGUAAAGGUAGAACAAAACACCGAUCAAAAGGCCAAGCCUUCCACCUUUUACCAAGUAUAUAUGUGUAUUAAAUUAAAUAGCAAUGAUAUUGUGAUAUCCCAAAGAUAUCCAUGUUAUCACAUGGAACAACCUACAUCUGCAACUAGCAAUGGUCUAAGAAGGGCUAAGCAAGCGGUAACAUAGCAAAACAACAGUUUGCUGGGAAGGUGGAGGUUGGAGGCUUAUCAUUGCAUUUGGGAGGCUUGAAAACACGGGGUAGGAAACGAGACAUAGCGAUAGAAACAAGACAACUGGCAUGUCAAUGAUAGUAGUGGUAUCCAGGGAAAUGAUCAUCUUGCGUGAGAUCCUGCUUGGAAGAAGAACAAAUCCAUGAAGUAGACGAACAUGCAUAAUCGAAUGAAUCCUCACACUUCGAAAUGCUUUCAGAACUCCAUCAAGAAGAAGCAAUCCAGAAACAAGAAAAUGACACGGCAAACACCACAACAUAUUCAUGACAUGAUGCGCAAACAAGUAUGAUGCAUGUUCGAUUUAAAUAGGCACGGCUUGGCAAGGUGCGACAAUCAAACACUAGAAAUUAAGUGAAGUUCAAUAUGCAAUGAGUUGCAUAUUGAUGAAACUCCACAUUUAAAUUAUUUAGUUCAUUCUCAUUUAUUUAAUCGACAAGUUUAAAUGUUACUAAACAUGACAAGACAUAAAGCACAAGGAGACUACAUAUUUAGGCAAGUUUAAAUGAAGCCUGCACAAUGAAUAACAAUUCAGAAAAGUACCCAUAUGUAGUUUUCGAAUUUGCUACUACUCUGCCCUAAGCACAAAUUUAUUGUUGUUAAAUAGGAAAAGUAAUGCCAAAAUGUUAGUCUACACAUUUUGCAAGUCAAGUUGCAUAUGCGGAUCAGUUUAAUCCGCGCUGCGGUUAUUUAGAUAUGAAAUAAAUUAUUUUAGCAUGGCGUUUAUGCAAAUUAAUGCAAACUACUCGUUUAAACAUUUUAAACAUGGAUGAAAGUUGGAUAUUAUUAAUAUACACAAAGUUCUCACCAUUUUUAAUAUAUAAAUUAUUUUAAUACGAUGCAAGAUUCUUGAGUUAUUAUAUGCAUGAUCAAUAGGUAUAUUUUUCAGUAAAACUAUAAAUACCGGCAUAAUUAGGAAAUUAAUGGGGACAUAAAAACAUGGACAUGCUGAAUCUGACGUGCCCAACAGUGGCACAUGGGAGACACAUACUAUAAUGUGCCUACGGGCGAGGAUUAGCAUGCGACUCUAACCAUCAUCUCAGAGGCUAGGCCUUGGCGGUUCGGCAGAGCAGGCGCGGCUUACCUUGGGCCGACCCAUGUGACGCUGGCGCAGGGCCACGAGAGGCCGGUGGAUCUAGGACCCUACGCUGGUCCAUACGGAGGCAAGCAGGUGGGGCCGGCUGGCUCGUCAUCGCUGGGCCCUUGCGAUUGAGACGACGAGCGUCGUGGUCCACGAUGGCGCUGGAUGCCCCGGCGGGUGGUGGAUCAUCCAGGACCAUGCGAGGAGAUCAAUGGGGGCAUGGGAUCGAGCUACGCCCGCGGACUCAGGGACAACCGUGGUGGCAUGACGACAAACUCCACCCGGGUCUCACCAGAUCCGACAGGAACAGGGCAAGGCAAGGCGGAUCUAGAUGGAUCCAGCCAUGGCGGAUCCAUUCCCGACAGUGAUGGUGUAAAUCAGCGCCGGCGGUGGCUGUGUUAAGCAAGGGACAGAGAGAGCCAUAAGAGGAGAGAGAGAAAUUGGGAUGAUGGGAGCAGGGAAGCGACGGGGCUCCGACCUAGGCUGUGGCACGAGGAUCUCCAGCGGUGAGGUUUGGAAGGCCUGCAAGGUCUGCGAAGCAUGCGCGCGGGAGACUCAGGAGAUGCAAGCACGCGGCAGCGCUGCUCUGGAUCACGAGCUCCUCCCCUGAUUUGGAGCGGUCGGGCGCGCCAACUAUGGUUUGGGCCGCCGAGAGGCUUUAGUUAGGCUCUACGGGCCCGUGCGAUGAGGUGGGAGAAGGUUGGCUGGGAGAAAGGUGACGGAUGCAGGUUUGAGGCGCACGGAAAAUGAGGGUGGCUAGGGUUUAGGGAAAAAUGGGCAGGGGUAGUGUGCUUAAAUAGAAAAGGUGGUCUAGGGUUAGGUUUUUUUGUCCAUUUCUGCACCAUUUUAUCUUGAUCGGACAGUCCAAAACGGUUGGGUAAGUUAGGUAGGUCUAGUUGGUUGUGUAGAUGGGUUAGGCUGAGAUGAGAGAGGGUUUUGUGGCCCGACAACGGAGUUUUUAUAUACUCAAACCGUGUGACGUUUUUCCAACUAUAGGUUGA
This 2537-nucleotide long non-coding RNA is filed under the name Hordeum vulgare. RNAcentral describes it as "long non-coding RNA (HVUL_LNC003843)". Lineage: Eukaryota; Viridiplantae; Streptophyta; Magnoliopsida; Poales; Poaceae. The record is from RNAcentral.